RNAcentral lists this long non-coding RNA (318 nucleotides) under Salvia miltiorrhiza (redroot sage). Its description in RNAcentral is "long non-coding RNA (SMIL_LNC011201)". Lineage: Eukaryota; Viridiplantae; Streptophyta; Magnoliopsida; Lamiales; Lamiaceae. The record is from RNAcentral.
AGAUAGGUGAGUCCGAGCGAUGAUUUCGCCGGCGAUUUCCACGGGUGGCUCUCUCUCUCUCUACCGCUGCUCGAUCAAGAAGGGAAAUGAAGAAUGGAGAAGGCGAAGAUGGAUAUGGUGCAUCAAAUUGAGAAGAUGUGGAUGGAGAUGGAGUUGAAGAGGAUGGAGAUGUUACUUGAGUCUGAGCAGAGGAUUGUCGAGGCAUUUGCUCAGGCGACAUCCGAGAGAAGUGCCAAACUGGCGAAAAGAGAUUCGACUAUGCCGGGUUGAAAUCAAGAACUGUAGUAUGGUUGAGCAGUGGAAGUUUUGUCAUGAAUU